RNAcentral lists this ribosomal RNA (286 nucleotides) under uncultured Methanomicrobiales archaeon. Its description in RNAcentral is "partial 16S ribosomal RNA". It matches the Rfam family "Archaeal small subunit ribosomal RNA", at positions 1054 to 1338 of the family's 1478-position model. Lineage: Archaea; Methanobacteriati; Methanobacteriota; Methanomicrobia; Methanomicrobiales. The record is from RNAcentral.
ACGCCAACAGUUGCCAGCUCGUCCUCCGGGGAUGGUGGGGACACUGUUGGGACCGCCUCUGCUAAAGAGGAGGAAGGAAUGGGCAACGGUAGGUCAGCAUGCCCCGAAUUAUCUGGGCUACACGCGGGCUACAAUGGGUGGGACAAUGGGUAUCGACACCGAAAGGUGAAGGCAAUCUCCUAAACCCAUCCGUAGUUCGGAUUGUGGGCUGCAACUCGCCCACAUGAAGCUGGAAUCUGUAGUAAUCGUGUCUCAAAAUGGCACGGUGAAUAUGUCCCUGCUCCUU